GAGUUUUAAGUUAAGAUAAACUACCAACCUUCAAAGUUGCCAAUAAAAUUAUAUUUUAAACUUUA
RNAcentral lists this transfer RNA (65 nucleotides) under Callichirus major. Its description in RNAcentral is "tRNA-Trp". The record is from RNAcentral. Lineage: Eukaryota; Metazoa; Arthropoda; Malacostraca; Decapoda; Callianassidae.